This 469-nucleotide ribosomal RNA is filed under the name uncultured bacterium. RNAcentral describes it as "partial 16S ribosomal RNA". It matches the Rfam family "Bacterial small subunit ribosomal RNA", at positions 28 to 507 of the family's 1533-position model. The record is from RNAcentral.
GACGAACGCUGGCGGCGUGCUUAACACAUGCAAGUCGAACGGAAAGGCCCUGCUUGCAGGGUGCUCGAGUGGCGAACGGGUGAGUAACACGUGGGUGAUCUGCCCCUUACUUUGGGAUAAGCCUGGGAAACUGGGUCUAAUACUGGAUAGGACCAUGCUGUAGGUGGUGUGGUGGAAAGAUUAGUUUCGGUAAGGGAUGAGCUCGCGGCCUAUCAGCUUGUUGGUGGGGUAAUGGCCUACCAAGGCGUCGACGGGUAGCCGGCCUGAGAGGGUGGACGGCGACAUUGGGACUGAGAUACGGCCCAGACGCCUACGGGAGGCAGCAGUGGGGAAGAUUGCACAAUGGGCGCAAGCCUGAUGCAGCGACGCCGCGUGGGGGAUGACGGCCUUCGGGUUGUAAACUCCUUUCAGCCAUGACGAAGCCCUUGUGGUGACGGUAGUGGUAGAAGAAGCACCGGCUAACUACGUG